Molecule: ribosomal RNA, 1515 nt
Filed under: metagenome
Description: bacterial SSU rRNA
Rfam family: Bacterial small subunit ribosomal RNA
Source: RNAcentral
AGAGUUUGAUUCUGGCUCAGAACGAACGCUGGCGGCGUGGAUAAGACAUGCAAGUCGUGCGGGGGUCUGUGGGUAGCAAUAUUCGCAGACUCUAGCGGCGAAAGGGUGCGUAACACGUGGGCAAUCUACCGUGAAGUUUGGAAUAACCCCGAGAAAUCGGGAUUAAUACCGGAUGUGAAUGUUUGAGGACAUCCUCGUUCAUUUAAAGCUGGGGACCAUGCCUAGCGCUUCAUGAUGAGCCCGCGGCCUAUCAGCUUGUUGGUGAGGUAACGGCUCACCAAGGCAACGACGGGUAGCUGGUCUGAGAGGACGAUCAGCCACACUGGAACUGAGACACGGUCCAGACACCUACGGGUGGCAGCAGUCGAGAAUCUUUCACAAUGGGCGCAAGCCUGAUGGAGCGACGCCGCGUGGGGGAUGAAUGGCUUCGGUCCGUACACCCCUGUCAUUUGUGAGCAAAGUUGUCAGCCUAAUAUGUUGACAACCUGAUAGUAGCGAAAGAGGAAGGGACGGCUAACUCUGUGCCAGCAGCCGCGGUAAUACAGAGGUCCCAAGCGUUGUUCGGAUUCACUGGGCGUAAAGAGUGCGUAGGUGGUAAGGUAAGUUUGGUGUGAAAGCUCCGGGCUCAACCUGGAAAGGUCAUCGAAUACUAUCUUACUAGAGGAUCGGAGGGGAGACUGGAAUUCUCGGUGUAGCAGUGAAAUGCGUAGAUAUCGAGAGGAACACCAGUGGCGAAGGCGAGUCUCUGGACGAUUCCUGACACUGAGGCACGAAAGCUAGGGGAGCAAACAGGAUUAGAUACCCUGGUAGUCCUAGCCGUAAACGGUGCACGUUUGCUGUGGGCGGAAUCGACCCCGUCCGUGGCGUAGCUAACGCGUUAAACGUGCCGCCUGGGGAGUACGGUCGCAAGAUUAAAACUCAAAGAAAUUGACGGGGGCCUGCACAAGCGGUGGAGUAUGUGGCUUAAUUCGAUUCAACGCGAAGGACCUUACCUGGCCUUGACAUGCAAGUAGUAGAAACCUGAAAGGGUAACGACCCCGCAAGGGGAGCUUGCACAGGUGCUGCAUGGCUGUCGUCAGCUCGUGUCGUGAGAUGUUGGGUUAAGUCCCGCAACGAGCGCAACCCUCGUGUCCUGUUGCCACUUCUGCGAGAGCAGAAAGCACUCUGGACAGACUGCCUCGCUUAAACGGGGAGGAAGGUGGGGAUGACGUCAAGUCAGUAUGGCCCUUACGGCCAGGGCUGCACACGUACUACAAUGCCUGGUACAAUGGGAAGCAAGACCGCAAGGUGGAGCAAAUCCUUAAAACCGGGCUCAGUUCGGAUUGUCGUCUGCAACUCGACGGCAUGAAGUCGGAAUCGCUAGUAAUGGCGCAUCAGCUACGGCGCCGUGAAUACGUUCCCUGGCCUUGUACACACCGCCCGUCACAUCAUGAAAGCCGGCUGUACCCGAAGUCGCUGUGCUAACUGCAAAGAGGCAGGUGCCGAAGGUAUGGCUGGUGAUUGGGAUGAAGUCGG